UACUCUCUAAAUAGACAUCUUUUGGAGCCUUCAGGCUGGAUAGGAUAUGAGGCCAGGCCGAUUUCACACAGUGGAGCCUCAUCAAUCUUUCGGUUCAUUCAGUUCACCAAGGGAGGUCCUCAUUCACAGAGAGAGUAGUCAAUAGACCAGCGCUACCCGGGUGAGAGCAAUUCCAUUAAACUGGGCUUCCACCAUAGGCCUCAGAAAAGCGGGUUUAUCAGAGGCCAACAGCCCAAGGAGGGCUGCAGUAACUCAACCAUGAGGAGGACGGAAGAACACCUGCUGAAGCACUUCAUCUUCUCUCUUCCCUCCUUGGUUGUCCUCAUGAGAUCACACAAAUGUGAAAUGGAUACCUCUGCCUUUUUCCAGAUGACAGAUACAACAAUAUGUGAGCUAGCUAGCUUGGCUCUGUUUUUUCUAAAGUUCACAACCUGACAUCUCUCUAUUACCCUUGUAUGCGACUGGCAGCCUCGAGCAGACAUUUACAGAGCAGCAGUCAUGUAUGUGAGUAAACACAUGGGCUCUGUCACACCCUUGAAUCAAUUUCAAUGUCCCUGACAUGACACUCUUCAAAUAAAUGGGCUGCACCACAGACAUAAACCUCAUGCUUUGACUGUGAAGUCAAAUAAACUGACUACGAAACAAUAUAAUAUUAAAAUAUCAAAAUAUUAAAAUUUUGAUUAUACUCCUUCCCCCCAACCCCUUCAUCACUUACUUUAACUCUGCCUGUCCCA
Molecule: long non-coding RNA, 734 nt
Organism: Notolabrus celidotus (New Zealand spotty)
Lineage: Eukaryota; Metazoa; Chordata; Actinopteri; Labriformes; Labridae
Exons: 3
Source: RefSeq, a predicted model, not a curated record